Long non-coding RNA from Spinacia oleracea (spinach), 1589 nucleotides. RefSeq lists it as uncharacterized. Lineage: Eukaryota; Viridiplantae; Streptophyta; Magnoliopsida; Caryophyllales; Amaranthaceae. The transcript has 3 exons. The record is from RefSeq and is a predicted model, not a curated record.
GAAGAUCAAAAGUCUGGAAUGAUUUUCUUGAACCUGAAUUAAUUAAAGGGAAAUGGAAAGUAAGGUGUAAGUAUUGCAACAGUCCUCUUUCGAUCUUGGUAUCUAAAAGUACUAGUCAUUUGAGUCGACAUGUUUGUCCGAAUAAGACGUUGCAUAUGAAACAACAACAAUUGAUUAACUUUAUGCCAUCUGAUAAAAGUGCUGGUGCAAACCAUUCUGAAUUUGUUAGUGCUUUGCAUAAUGGUAAGUUUGACAUGAUAAAGAUGAGAGAGGGGAUAGCACAUUGGAUCACCAUGCAUGAGCAUCCUUUCACUACUGUAGAAGAGGAGGGCUUCAAUUUGAUGCUAAAACGGGGAAUACCACAAUGGACAAGUGUGUCUCGUCACACUAUAAGGACAGACUCCUUCAAAGUGUACGACAUUGAGAAGAAGAAACUGAAAGCAUUGUUGAAAACAGUAGAUUGAAUUAGCUUGACUACAGAUUUGUGGCGAUCAAGGCCUCAAAAGAUCGAAUACAUGGUUUUAACAGCUCAUUUUGUAGAUCCGCAAUGGAAGCUUCAGAAGCGGGUGCUCAAUUUUGUCCACUUGCCUCCUCCACGUAAAGGUCCUAAUAUAGCAGAUUGCAUCUUAACAUGCUUAAGAGAGUGGGAAAUUGAAGACAAAAUUUUCACAAUCUCGGUGGACAAUGCAACUGCAAAUGAUUCUUGUAUUCAGAUUUUGAAGGAUAAUUUUGCAUCUAAUGGAAGGUUGUUAUGCAAUGGAAGAUUAUUUCAUGUGCGUUGUUGUGCACAUAUCCUCAAUAUAAUGGUUCAACAUGGGCUUCAAUAAGUGAAGAGCAUCAUUGAAAGAGUACAUGACAACGUGGACUUUUUGAACUCAAGUGAAGCACGACUUAAACGGUUUGGUGAGCUUGUUAGCCAAUACAACUUGCAAUCACGGAAAUUAGUCCUUGAAUGCAAGACUCGCUGGAAUGCAAAACUCGCUGGAAUUCAACUUGCAAUCAUUGUGGUUUGUCAGAAAUUUUGCAAUCGGUUAGAUGUGGGCAAGUAGUGGAGCCUAAUAAAUCCGAAGUCGAUUUGUAUUUUGAUGAAGGGCUUUUCAUUACUCAAGAUUCUAAAUUUGAUGUCUUGUCUUGGUGGAAAGAAAAAUCAAUGAAGUACCGAAUUUUGUCUAAGUUAGCGGUACAAAUUUUAGCAGUUCCCAUCACCACUGUGGCUUCUGAGGCAACUUUUAGUGCUGGGGGUCGUGUAAUAGAUCCUUACAGAGCAAGGCUUUCACCAGAAACAGUGUAAAUGUUAAUAUGCACAGGUGACUGGUGCAGAUCCCUCCAUGGAGUGAAAAGAAAGAACAAGAACAAAGAUGAAGAUCAACCUAAAGAAAUUUUCAUCCCGGUACCUUCGAAGGAAUCCGCAAGCUGAUGUCAAAAUUGAGUACUAUUUGCAUUUGUUGUAUUGAAAAAAUAAUGUUGUGGAAUAAUUUUUCUUUAAUAUUUUUAUUGGGAUAUUUUCAUGUGUUUAAUUCAAUUAAGUUGUUGGUUUUUUAUUAUGAAUUAUGUAUUAUAUCUUAAAAUAGCACUUUUAUAAUAAUAAG